Molecule: ribosomal RNA, 468 nt
Filed under: uncultured bacterium
Lineage: Bacteria
Description: partial 16S ribosomal RNA
Rfam family: Bacterial small subunit ribosomal RNA
Source: RNAcentral
GACGAACGCUGGCGGCGUGCUUAACACAUGCAAGUCGAACGGUGAAGCUCCAGCUUGCUGGCGUGGAUCAGUGGCGAACGGGUGAGUAACACGUGAGCAACCUGCCCCUGACUCUGGAAUAAGCGCUGGAAACGGCGUCUAAUACUGGAUACGAGAAGUUUCCGCAUGUGCACUUUCUGGAAAGUUUUUCGGUUGUGGAUGGUCUCGCGGCCUAUCAGCUUGUUUGUGAGGUAAUGGCUCACCAAGGCUACGACGGGUAGCCGGCCUGAGAGGGCGAACGGCGACAAGGGGACUGAGAGACGGACCAGAAGGCUACGGGAGGCAGCAGUGGGGAAUAUUGCACAAUGGGCGAAAGCCUGAUGCAGAGACGCCGCGUGAGGGAUGACGGCCUUCGGGUUGUAAACCUAUUUCAGCAGGGAAGAAGCGAAAGUGACGGUACCUGCAGAAGAAGCAACGGCUAACUACGUG